CAGGACUCGCAAGACUCCUACAACCCUGUGAACUUAACUAUAAGCACGUUGCUUCGGCGGGUGUUCCGGCGAGGGUUCUCCCUCUCCGGGGCGCUAAGCCCGCCGGCAGCCUACUAUACUCUGUCUCUUUGCGUUGGCAUCUCGAGUACAAACAAACAAGUUA
Molecule: unclassified non-coding RNA, 163 nt
Filed under: uncultured Chaetosphaeria
Lineage: Eukaryota; Fungi; Ascomycota; Sordariomycetes; Chaetosphaeriales; Chaetosphaeriaceae
Description: sequence contains ITS1
Source: RNAcentral